CAUCAUUCUGAUGAUGCCAUUCUCAGUACUUCAAAGAUGAUUUAUAAUUUAAUAGGGCUGAUGACCCAAAGAACUAUAAGACCCUCACCUACUUUUCUAGAGUGACUGCUUUCAAUGAUUUUCAAGCUCCUACCAGACAUCCUCCCUGACCUCCAAAUGUAUUGAACUAUUCAUAAGUCCUGACGACUCCAUGAACACCCGCUGCCAAGCCGCCUAGCUCUGCAGUUCGUUUGAGGAUGCACUUCUCUCUUCAGUCUCCCUGGAUAAUCACUCUUCAUCCUUCAAGCUCAGCCACACUGUAGCUCCUCUGGGAAGCCUUCUCUGGACAAACCCACACCCACAACCCACAACCCUGGGUUGGUUUUCCAAUCUCUGUGCUUCUGUAAUAAUUUACAUAUAUGUCCUAAUACUCCACUUCUCAGAUCAGUUAAAACUCAGAGCUGGUCAAAGUCUAAUGUUCAUAAACAGUGCUUAGGAAUCUUGUAAAAUUCAGACUCUGAUUAACUUGGCCUGGGAUGGUGAGACCUAAAUAUGCAUUUCCUGUAAGUUCCCAGGUCAUGAUGAUAAUACUGGUCAUGGACCACACUUUGAAUAAGAAGAGUAUUAUUCUUGAAUAUUUUGUUUUCAACUGUGAACUCCUUAACAUUAGACCCUAUCACUUCCUCAGCUCUGAAUUUCUAGAACCCAACACACUUAAUGUACAAAGAAACAUUUUAGAUGAAUUGAUCCUGGGUCAUAUCUAGCAUUCGUUUUUU
Long non-coding RNA from Manis pentadactyla (Chinese pangolin), 755 nucleotides. RefSeq lists it as uncharacterized. Lineage: Eukaryota; Metazoa; Chordata; Mammalia; Pholidota; Manidae. The record is from RefSeq and is a predicted model, not a curated record. The transcript is spliced from 2 exons.